UACGUAGGGUGCGAGCGUUAAUCGGAAUUACUGGGCGUAAAGCGUGCGCAGGCGGUUCUCCAAGUCCGUUGUGAAAGCCCCGGGCUCAACCUGGGAAUGGCAGUGGAAACUAGGGGACUGGAAUCUGGCAGAGGGGGGUGGAAUUCCACGUGUAGCGGUGAAAUGCGUAGAUAUCGGAAGGAACACCAGUGGCGAAAGCGGCUUCCUGGUCCAGCACCGACGUUCAGGCACGAAAGCGUGGGGAGCAAACAGG
Molecule: ribosomal RNA, 253 nt
Filed under: uncultured bacterium
Lineage: Bacteria
Description: partial 16S ribosomal RNA
Rfam family: Bacterial small subunit ribosomal RNA
Source: RNAcentral